GUAAGUCCCGCAACGAGCGCAACCCCUACGUUUAGUUGCUAACGCGUGAAGGCGAGCACUCUAGACGAACUGCCGUUGACAAAACGGAGGAAGGUGGGAUGACGUCAAAGUCAUCAUGCCCCUUAUGUUCUGGGCUACACACGUGCUACAAUGGCCGGUACAGACGGACGCAAAGCCGCGAGGCGGAGCAAAUCCGAAAAAGCCGGUCUCAGUUCGGAUUGCAGGCUGCAAUUCGCCUGCAUGAAGUCGGAAUCGCUAGUAAUCGCAGGUCAGCAUACUGCGGUGAAUACGUUCCCGGGCCUU
This 303-nucleotide ribosomal RNA is filed under the name uncultured Pelotomaculum sp. Its description in RNAcentral is "bacterial SSU rRNA". It matches the Rfam family "Bacterial small subunit ribosomal RNA", at positions 1080 to 1382 of the family's 1533-position model. Lineage: Bacteria; Bacillati; Bacillota; Clostridia; Eubacteriales; Desulfotomaculaceae. The record is from RNAcentral.